AUUUGUACAGUCCCUGCCCUCCAAAGGUGCCUAGAGGACGGGCCAGACGCAGCAGAGCGACGCCCCAGGAGCGGAUUCCCCACGAGCAGGGGGGGAGGAGAUGGCCAUCUCGAGGCACAUCACGACCUACAGGCAACACCGGCGAGACCCAGGAAGGUAACCCGAUUGGGAGUCAGAGGAUCCAUAGUACCCGCAGCCUCCCGGACUUCAUAUUCAUCAUGUUCUAAAGAAAGGGUAAGGGAUCUCUUUUCUGCAACGGAAAAAAAAUAA
This 270-nucleotide ribosomal RNA is filed under the name Triticum aestivum (bread wheat). RNAcentral describes it as "partial small subunit ribosomal RNA". Lineage: Eukaryota; Viridiplantae; Streptophyta; Magnoliopsida; Poales; Poaceae. The record is from RNAcentral.